Molecule: ribosomal RNA, 492 nt
Filed under: uncultured bacterium
Lineage: Bacteria
Description: partial 16S ribosomal RNA
Rfam family: Bacterial small subunit ribosomal RNA
Source: RNAcentral
AGUGAACGCUGGCGGUAGGCCUAACACAUGCAAGUCGAACGGCAGCACAGUAAGAGCUUGCUCUUACGGGUAGCGAGUGGCGGACGGGUGAGGAAUACAUCGGAAUCUACUUUUUCGUGGGGGAUAACGUAGGGAAACUUACGCUAAUACCGCAUACGACCUACGGGUGAAAGCAGGGGAUCUUCGGACCUUGCGCGAUUGAAUGAGCCGAUGUCGGAUUAGCUAGUUGGCGGGGCAAAGGCCCACCAAGGCGACGAUCCGUAGCUGGUCUGAGAGGAUGAUCAGCCACACUGGAACUGAGACACGGUCCAGACUCCUACGGGAGGCAGCAGUGGGGAAUAUUGGACAAUGGGCGCAAGCCUGAUCCAGCCAUACCGCGUGGGUGAAGAAGGCCUUCGGGUUGUAAAGCCCUUUUGUUGGGAAAGAAAAGCAGCAGGUUAAUACCCCGCUGUUCUGACGGUACCCAAAGAAUAAGCACCGGCUAACUUCGUG